UAGCCGUAUCGGAAGGUGCGGCUGGAUCACCUCCUU
Molecule: ribosomal RNA, 36 nt
Filed under: uncultured Bacillus sp.
Lineage: Bacteria; Bacillati; Bacillota; Bacilli; Caryophanales; Bacillaceae
Also listed under: 2 other names
Description: partial 16S ribosomal RNA
Source: RNAcentral